AUGGCAGUGAUGAUUGGCGCAGGGGUACGGACCUCAGCUGGAUCAUGGGAGCUGAAUGCAAACCGGCAAUUCCAGGGCAGCUGGCGUGUGGCUGGCUCCCUGGAAACAGGCUUGCAUGAGACUUUGCCACCAACUGAGCCAU
Molecule: small nucleolar RNA, 142 nt
Organism: Prinia subflava (tawny-flanked prinia)
Lineage: Eukaryota; Metazoa; Chordata; Aves; Passeriformes; Cisticolidae
Product: small nucleolar RNA SNORD94
Exons: 1
Source: RefSeq, a predicted model, not a curated record